This 98-nucleotide small nucleolar RNA is filed under the name Dactylellina haptotyla CBS 200.50. RNAcentral's name for it is "A. fumigatus snoRNA Afu_263". It matches the Rfam family "A. fumigatus snoRNA Afu_263". Lineage: Eukaryota; Fungi; Ascomycota; Orbiliomycetes; Orbiliales; Orbiliaceae. The record is from Rfam by way of RNAcentral.
UUUCGUGAUGAUACAAAAAUUUUCAAAGCAUAGUUCACCUGAGGACUCUGUGUCCGAUGAACGAAGCAAAAUUAUCCAUCUUUCGCUCCUAUCUGAUA